RNAcentral lists this ribosomal RNA (1325 nucleotides) under metagenome. RNAcentral describes it as "bacterial LSU rRNA". It matches the Rfam family "Bacterial large subunit ribosomal RNA", at positions 1561 to 2925 of the family's 2925-position model. The record is from RNAcentral.
AGUGGAUGGGGAGCAACCUAGUUGUGCGUGUGUAAAGGUAGUGCCAAGAAAAGCGGUGAUCAUGAUGAAAAUCAAUUCCCGGUACCCGAAACCGACACAGGUGGGCAAGUAGAGAAUACUAAGGGGCGCGAGGUAACUCUCUCCAAGGAACUCGGCAAAAUGACCCCGUAACUUAGGGAGAAGGGGUGCCACCGAGAGGUGGUCGCAGUGAAGAGGCCCAGGCGACUGUUUAGCAAAAACAUAGGUCUCUGCAAACUCGAAAGAGGAGGUAUAGGGGCUGACGCCUGCCCAGUGCCGGAAGGUUAAAGAAGUUGGUCAGUCUUAGGAUAAAGCUAGCGACUGAAGCCCCGGUGAACGGCGGCCGUAACUAUAACGGUCCUAAGGUAGCGAAAUUCCUUGUCGGGUAAGUUCCGACCCGCACGAAAGGCGUAACGAUCUGGGCGCUGUCUCGGAGAGAGGCUCGGCGAAAUAGGAUUGUCUGUGAAGAUACGGACUACCUGCAUUUGGACAGAAAGACCCUAUGAAGCUUUACUAUAGCUUAGAAUUGUGUUCGGGCUUCCUGUGCGCAGGAUAGGUGGGAGGCGUAGAAGGUAUUCUUGUGGGGAUACUGGAGCCAACGGUGAGAUACCACUCUCAGGAGGCUAGAAUUCUAACUUAAUUAAGGACAGUUUCAGGUGGGUAGUUUGACUGGGGCGGUCGCCUCCAAAAAGGUAACGGAGGCGUACAAAGGUUCCCUCAGACUGGUUGGAGAUCAGUCGCAGAGUGCAAAGGCAGAAGGGAGCUUGACUGCGAGAAGUACAGUUCGAGCAGGGUGGAAACACGGUCUUAGUGAUCCGACGGUGCUGUGUGGAAGGGCCGUCGCUCAACGGAUAAAAGUUACUCUAGGAUAACAGGCUGAUCUCCCCCAAGAGUUCACAUCGACGGGGAGGUUUGGCACCUCGAUGUCGGCUCAUCGCAACCUGGGGCGGAAGUACGUCCCAAGGGUUGGGCUGUUCGCCCAUUAAAGCGGUACGUGAGCUGGGUUCAGAACGUCGUGAGACAGUUCGGUCCAUAUCCGAUGUAGGCGUGAGAAUAUUGAGAGGAGCCUUCCUUAGUACGAGAGGACCGGGAAGGACGCACCGCUGGUGUACCUGUUAUGAUGCCAAUUGUAAACGCAGGGUGGCCAAGUGCGGAGAGGAUAACCGCUGAAAGCAUCUAAGUGGGAAGCCCACCUCAAGAUGAGUAUUCUUGUGUAAGGUCACGGGAAGACGACCCGUAAAUAGGCACGAGGUGGAAGUGCAGAGAUGUAUGAAGCCGAAGUGUACUAAUAGACCGUCGGCUUGAGC